RNAcentral lists this ribosomal RNA (451 nucleotides) under uncultured bacterium. RNAcentral describes it as "partial 16S ribosomal RNA". It matches the Rfam family "Bacterial small subunit ribosomal RNA", at positions 354 to 796 of the family's 1533-position model. The record is from RNAcentral.
GUGGGGAAUAUUGGACAAUGGGGGGAACCCUGAUCCAGCCAUGCCGCGUGCGUGAAGAAGGCCUUUUGGUUGUAAAGCACUUUAAGCGAGGAGGAGGCUACCGAGAUUAAUACUCUUGGAUAGUGGACGUUACUCGCAGAAUAAGCACCGGCUAACUCUGUGCCAGCAGCCGCGGUAAUACAGAGGGUGCAAGCGUUAAUCGGAUUUACUGGGCGUAAAGCGCGCGUAGGUGGCCAAUUAAGUCAAAUGUGAAAUCCCCGAGCUUAACUUGGGAAUUGCAUUCGAUACUGGUUGGCUAGAGUAUGGGAGAGGAUGGUAGAAUUCCAGGUGUAGCGGUGAAAUGCGUAGAGAUCUGGAGGAAUACCGAUGGCGAAGGCAGCCAUCUGGCCUAAUACUGACACUGAGGUGCGAAAGCAUGGGGAGCAAACAGGAUUAGAUACCCUAGUAGUCC